AGCUUGGAUUUAUUCAAGUGGAAAGUGGCGGACGAGCGAGUAACACAUAAGAACUUGCCCUGUACUCGGGGAUAACCUGGCGAAAGUCGGGCUAAUACCGGAUGGUCUCGUAAGAGUAAAGCUUUUGCGGUACAGGAGAGGCUUGUGGCUUAUCAGCUAGUUGGUGGGGUAAAGGCCCACCAAGGCUAUGACGAGUAACUGGUGUGAGAGCACGACCAGUCGCGAUGGGACUGAGAUACGGCCCAUACUUC
RNAcentral lists this ribosomal RNA (251 nucleotides) under uncultured bacterium. RNAcentral's name for it is "partial 16S ribosomal RNA". It matches the Rfam family "Bacterial small subunit ribosomal RNA", at positions 71 to 339 of the family's 1533-position model. The record is from RNAcentral.